Molecule: long non-coding RNA, 979 nt
Filed under: Carica papaya (papaya)
Lineage: Eukaryota; Viridiplantae; Streptophyta; Magnoliopsida; Brassicales; Caricaceae
Description: long non-coding RNA (CPAP_LNC011211)
Source: RNAcentral
CUCCCUACUCAAACUCAAUCAUUCUUAAAUAAUCACACCAAGAAAACUAUAAAAUAACCAUCCAAAAUAGAUUCAAAAUCCAACAGAAAAAUCACAAAUCUGAAUUCAAAAUUCAAAGAAAAAAUCACAAAUCUGGCUAAACUUUUUCCUUCCUCUGGUUCCCGGGCGUAAGUGAGAGAAACCAGAUAAGUUUCUUUUCCUUCUCUUUUCUGCCGGUCACACAAACUCUCUCUCUCUCUCUCUCUCUCUCUCUACCCUUUUUGUUUUCGUUAAACGUGAGAAAGCAGAGCGGUGCGUGUAUAUAAGAAAAACAGAGACCGCUGCCUCGCCCCUCCAAUUUUCUUUUGCUGUCGGCGGCUUUUUUACAUUUUUUUUUCUUUAUUAGCCCUAAUGGGCUGGAACCGUUUGACCCACCAGGCAAAGACCAAUAGAAUUUCCUAAACCUCAUAUAUAAGAGAUCCAUCCAAUGCUUCAUUAGUCAUCACCUUGCACGACUUUUGGGAGAAAGCUUGCUGAGUUAGAGACAACUGAAGUUACUAAGCAACGCAAUCAUGCAAAUCUUAAAGGCCACUUAUUUGUCAGCUUAUGGAUGAUGAAGAUAUAGAGGUGGCUAUGGAGGACCCUAAUCUGCUCCAAUACUCUCCGGCUUCUGACCUUAGCGGGUGAAACGUAGAGGGCAAGCUGUUCGAGCAAGUAUGAUAAUGUUGUUCAGUUCUUGAAAGAGAGGUAGCCAUUUUUCCUUAGAGGUGAGAAGGCUUUUCAGUUUCAAUACACAAUUAUUCUUUUGACCUAUUCUCCUUCUUGCAUAUUCUCAAUAUAUAUAUAUAUAUAUAUAUAUCUAUGUAUAUAAUGGAGAGAAAGGGACAUAAGGAAUCGUAUCUUCUCCAUAUCCCAUGGACGGUAACAUAUUUGAGAUCUGGAUCUACGUGAUUCCUGUGCAAUGUUGAAGCAAUGUCUCCCGACCACCACCUUGCCAACN